Pollicipes pollicipes is the source of this 330-nucleotide long non-coding RNA. RefSeq lists it as uncharacterized. NCBI's taxonomy places the organism in Eukaryota, Metazoa, Arthropoda, Thecostraca, Pollicipedomorpha, Pollicipedidae. The transcript has 4 exons. The record is from RefSeq and is a predicted model, not a curated record.
GGCCGACGUCAGCGGCGGCAGCAGCCAGCCAGGCCCGUCCGGUCGGAGGCGCUGCUGAUCACUGAAGGGCCGCUUCCAGAGCUGACUUCUGAGCCACCAUGGUACGACCCGAGCCGACCAGUCGCCGCAAACUGAAUGAUGCAAGAGGACGAGACCCCGAAGUGGUGUCGUGAAGCUGCCAGAGGGACGCGCAGAACACUCUCCUCAAUAUGCUCCUCGACAUCAUGACGGUGAUAGUGGUGUUCCUGAUCUGGACGAGCCACCAGUGGGAGCCGGCGGAGCUGUCCGGCUGGAGCCCGACGGCGGGACGCGCCGACUCGGCGUGGUCGG